GAUGAACGCUAGCUACAGGCUUAACACAUGCAAGUCGAACGGUAACAGGAAGAAGCUUGCUUCUUUGCUGACGAGUGGCGGACGGGUGAGUAAUGUCUGGGAAACUGCCUGAUGGAGGGGGAUAACUACUGGAAACGGUAGCUAAUACCGCAUAACGUCGCAAGACCAAAGAGGGGGACCUUCGGGCCUCUUGCCAUCGGAUGUGCCCAGAUGGGAUUAGCUAGUAGGUGGGGUAACGGCUCACCUAGGCGACGAUCCCUAGCUGGUCUGAGAGGAUGACCAGCCACACUGGAACUGAGACACGGUCCAGACUCCUACGGGAGGCAGCAGUGGGGAAUAUUGCACAAUGGGCGCAAGCCUGAUGCAGCCAUGCCGCGUGUAUG
Molecule: ribosomal RNA, 383 nt
Filed under: uncultured bacterium
Lineage: Bacteria
Description: bacterial SSU rRNA
Rfam family: Bacterial small subunit ribosomal RNA
Source: RNAcentral